Non-coding RNA from Meleagris gallopavo (turkey), 2456 nucleotides. Lineage: Eukaryota; Metazoa; Chordata; Aves; Galliformes; Phasianidae. The record is from RefSeq and is a predicted model, not a curated record.
UGUUAAUGGGUACCAUUAAACAUACCACUGCACAGUGUUACAAUAUAUGCAAACAUUUAAUGCAAAGGCAGAACCCAAACGCAAUUCCAUUUCUUCUGUUAAAAAAGUAAAUGCAGAAUAUGAUGUAUUUCUAUUGCUCGCAUUACAGUUUGGUCUCAGUUUGGGAUGAACAUUCUCGGGAACUAACUUACCAAGAUUUGAUACGGAGGGUUUCUCUGGGAAGCACUAUUUUGAGUUAACUAGUACACAACCAGAGGUAAUUCUCAGGGAAUUAACCUUAAAAAAGGAAAACAGAAGUUUUCUUUUUGUGAGACAGUUGAUGCCGCUCCGCUCUCAGGAUAGCGUGCCUGCCUUCAAGCUCGGGAAGCUCUACUGAAAUCAAGAAAUGCUACCCUUGAGAAUGAGCUGGAAUGAUACAAACACCAGAAACACACUCUGCCAUUUCAUUCGGAGCACUGUCUAUUGUUCUGGAACAUGGCUGACUGGAAAAGGGCACUUCCAGGAAUCUGACUGCCACUGUUCUAAACUACUUACCUUAUCCUGGAUAUUUGCUUAAACAUGAUAUUCACUACAACGUUGCACCUGGAAAAUUUCUGCUGUGAUGAAAUGAGCACUAUUUUUGGUAUUGGAAUUUUUGAUUUUGAUAAUUUUGUGUCUUGGCUUCCUCACAAAGAGUUCUGCCAGAAAUUCUGAGCAUGGGUGGUGUGAAAGACAAAACUGUUUCUUUUUUGUCUCAAAGCUUGCUUCGUGAAACCUUUUUGGUGAUAAGACUCUUAACUGACGAUUGUGUCACCAUGCCACCGUACUUCUGCUCAUGACUGUAAAGAUAAGCAGAAGCAGGACAAGCAGUCUUUUUCAGGGUGUGUGUGUGGGGUGCCGUUUGAAGGAGCUGACCACUGAAAAAGGCGAUAAUGCUUGUGCAUGGCAACAAAGGUACCACUCCUUACUGGCUUAUCUUUUGGGCCAGGUGUGUCACCCUAAUGGGGAGAAAAGAAUUAAAAAAACAGAGAAAUGGAGGAUAAAAGGCCCUCACUGAAUUGAGGAUUUUGGAGAAGAACUCCUAAAGGAACCUUUGAUGGAAGAAUUCCCUUAGGGGAAGACACCUCUUCGGAAACAACCUCCCCCAUCCCCCACAGGUUCUGCUUGCUUCCUAACUUUCUCCCAUCCCGCAGUGAUUGGACAAGUUCCUGAGAUCAACGGACGUACUACGAACCUUGCUGGACCCAUGAUUUGAAGAGCAUUUGAGCACCUGUGAAUAUGCUUGCACACUGGAAUAGAGUUACUGCUCAGUUUUCUUUUGGAGGAGAUUGAGCUAUUUCAGUCUCUCACUGCAAGAUGUUUUGUCCAAUCACUGAGCAAUUUUUGAGGCUUCUUUUUUCUUGUUUUUUUUUUUUUUUUGUUAUUGUUGUUGUUCUUUUUCUUUUUUGUGUGUGUGUAUGUUUUUUAUUUGUUUUAAAGACCACCUUCGAUUUUUUGACUUUUUUGAAACAGUGAACAUCAGAAGGGGAUCUAGUAUUACAGCAUUUAUUACAGUGAUAGUGUAUUUAGAGACAUAACUACCUUUCUACUUCUCUGCUUUUAAAUGAGCAUUUUUUAAAAUAUAGGCUGUAUUCGUUUUUUUUCUCUAAAUCUAUGAAGUUAACUGCAUUAAAAUGUGCUCGAUUUAGAACAUCUGCUUUACCACGUGUACUAUAAAAUACAGUACUUAAAGCAAGUUAUUUAUAGUUUAUUAUUAUAUGCUUUCAAGGUGAGAAGAUUCAGUAAGUGAACUUUGGAAAAUAUUCAUGUGAAUUAAAUGAGGUUCAGAACUCUUUUUUUAAGUAUUGCUAUCAUAAGUAAUGUAAUAUUUUGAAUAUGGUUAUACAAAUAGAUAAUAGUAGUUUGUAUAGUGUCCAAACAUUACUUACUCUUUGCAAAGAUGUUUUGAAUGAAGUUUUCAUAUUUGAUUUGCAGUGUUAGUAUGAAUUAAAUCCAUAAAUAAAGCAGUUGAAAAAGAUAACUGGUGUUGUAGAAAUAUCUUCUGAGCUAAGCAGAAGUUUGAUUUUGGAGUUCUUCAUAUCACAUAUUCUCUCAGCUCUUAUGUGUAAGCUUAUGAAUUUGUAUUCUGCUGCUGAUUUUUUUACAUUCCCAAAACUUAGUUUUGUGAAUAAUUCAACAAAAUAAAACUUUUGAGUUAAAUGGGUGUUUGAUUUUCAGGUUCAUAUACACCAAAAUUUUGUGUUUUUAUCUCUUGAAGGUUCAAAUAUUCUGAAGUAUUUGAGGUGGUAGACGACAUUGCAUCAACAUUUAAGACAAUUUAAUGUUGAAAUUUUCUGUUUUUCAGUUCCCUGAGAAGAUCAAGUGAAGCUUUUGAGAUGAUCGAACACCAAUUUUAGGAUAACAUAAUCCAGUGUUGCCUAGCCUGUUUGCUUAUCUCUUUGUAUCUGUCUGAUGUCUGAUGACUGAAAAAAAAAUAU